This 424-nucleotide ribosomal RNA is filed under the name Fusobacteriota bacterium. RNAcentral describes it as "Fusobacteria bacterium partial 16S ribosomal RNA". It matches the Rfam family "Bacterial small subunit ribosomal RNA", at positions 355 to 776 of the family's 1533-position model. The record is from RNAcentral. Lineage: Bacteria; Fusobacteriati; Fusobacteriota.
UGAGGAAUAUUGGUCAAUUGGCGAGAGCCUGAACCAGCCAAGUCGCGUGAAGGAAGACAGUCCUAAGGAUUGUAAACUUCUUUUAUACGGGAAUAACGGGCGAUACGAGUAUUGCAUUGAAUGUACCGUAAGAAUAAGCAUCGGCUAACUCCGUGCCAGCAGCCGCGGUAAUACGGAGGAUGCGAGCGUUAUCCGAAUUUAUUGGGUUUAAAGGGUGCGUAGGUUGUUCGGUAAGUCAGCGGUGAAACCUGAGCGCUCAACGUUCAGCCUGCCGUUGAACCUGCCGUGCUUGAGUUCAGUGGCGGCAGGCGGAAUUCGUGGUGUAGCGGUGAAAUGCAUAGUUAUCACGAGGAACUCCGAUUGCGAAGGCAGCUUGCCAUACUGCAACUGACACUGAAGCACGAAGGCGUGGGUAUCAAACAGG